RNAcentral lists this long non-coding RNA (947 nucleotides) under Marmota monax (woodchuck). The record is from RNAcentral. Lineage: Eukaryota; Metazoa; Chordata; Mammalia; Rodentia; Sciuridae.
UGGCUAGGUGCUUAAGUAACCCUGGGUUCAGUCCCUGGUACCAAAAAAAAAAAAAAAAAAAAAAAAACCCAAGGGGAGUCACCUAAAUAAAUUAAAAGACUAUAGGGAGAAGUGAGGCUUGUUAUUACCAGAUAUUAGAGGAAACUAGAAAAAUUUAGGGUUCUGUCCAGUCAGGUGUAAAUAAAAAAAAUUUAAAACAAUGAAUGGGGUUACAAUCUAAUAACAGGUGUGCUAUAGUUUUUCUUUAGAAACAUAAUGAAUUUGUGAAAUAAGUUUAGUUUCAUCAAGUUUGGCCUGAUCGAUUACAUAAGUGCAAUAAUAAUAGUGACUGAUGACAUAGUACUCUCAGGGUAGACUGUUAAAAACCUCUCAAGGACCAGGUAUGUGGCUCAUGGUUGAGUGUGUGCUUAGCAGGCACCGGCCCUGGAGUCAGUCCCCAGAUUCAUCUUUCAUAAACCUUUUGCAGCUUCCUCUGACCUUUAGGACUUGCUCCAAGCUUUAUCACUUGGUUAAGCCUUCAGUGUUGUCCCAUUUCUUUGAUUUUUAAACUAGAAUCAUUGUACCUUAAGACAAAAUUGUAUUCUUAUUCCCUAAUCACCAAGACCACGCAAAAUUCUAAUACAAAAAUAAUUUUCAUUUUAAUGUUCUUUACCAAAAAGUACAUCUGCAUAUCUGUGACUUCCUUUUCAUCUCUCUCCUACUUACUAGUUCCUUUCUGUUUUAUUCUUACUUUCUUUCUAAAUCCACAUUUUGAAAAAAAAAAAAAUUAACCCCCGAAUAAGGCAAUAUUCUCUUUAAUGCCGUUUUAUAAUUUUUCUCAUUAAAAAAUCUUAAUUUUCUAUUACACUUUGAAUAUAGAAUUGCAUACAUUAAUUCUAGAAUUUUUUAACACUUAGUAACCUUAUUUCUGGUGAAAACCUAGGUUGGAAGCAAAUUUUGAACUGUAC